Molecule: transfer RNA, 73 nt
Filed under: Camelus bactrianus (Bactrian camel)
Lineage: Eukaryota; Metazoa; Chordata; Mammalia; Artiodactyla; Camelidae
Also listed under: 2 other names
Rfam family: tRNA
About the family: Transfer RNA (tRNA) molecules are approximately 80 nucleotides in length. Their secondary structure includes four short double-helical elements and three loops (D, anti-codon, and T loops).
Source: Rfam by way of RNAcentral
GAGGGUGUAGCUCAGUGGUAGUGUGCGUGCUUAGCAUGCAUGAGGGUCCUGGUUUCAAUCCCCAGUACCCCCA